UCCUACGGGAGGCAGCAGUGGGGAAUAUUGCACAAAUGGGCGAAAGCCUGAUGCAGCGACGCCGCGUGAGGGAUGACGGCCUUCGGGUUGUAAACCUCUUUCAGCAGGGAAGAAGCGAAAGUGACGGUACCUGCAGAAGAAGCGCCGGCUAACUACGUGCCAGCAGCCGCGGUAAUACGUAGGGCGCAAGCGUUGUCCGGAAUUAUUAGGCGUAAAGAGCUCGUAGGCGGCUUGUCACGUCGGGUGUGAAAGCCCGGGGCUUAACCCCGGGUCUGCAUCCGAUACGGGCAGGCUAGAGUGUGGUAGGGGAGAUCGGAAUUCCUGGUGUAGCGGUGAAAUGCGCAGAUAUCAGGAGGAACACCGGUGGCGAAGGCGGAUCUCUGGGCCAUUACUGACGCUGAGGAGCGAAAGCGUGGGGAGCGAACAGGAUUAGAUACCCUGGUAGUCCACGCCGUAAACGUUGGGAACUAGGUGUUGGCGACAUUCCACGUCGUCGGUGCCGCAGCUAACGCAUUAAGUUCCCCGCCUGGGGAGUACGGCCGCAAGGCUAAAACUCAA
This 558-nucleotide ribosomal RNA is filed under the name uncultured Streptomyces sp. RNAcentral describes it as "bacterial SSU rRNA". It matches the Rfam family "Bacterial small subunit ribosomal RNA", at positions 337 to 904 of the family's 1533-position model. Lineage: Bacteria; Bacillati; Actinomycetota; Actinomycetes; Kitasatosporales; Streptomycetaceae. The record is from RNAcentral.